Daucus carota subsp. sativus is the source of this 1257-nucleotide long non-coding RNA. RefSeq lists it as uncharacterized. The record is from RefSeq and is a predicted model, not a curated record. The transcript is spliced from 2 exons. Lineage: Eukaryota; Viridiplantae; Streptophyta; Magnoliopsida; Apiales; Apiaceae.
UGGGCUAACUUUUCUGCAUAAUCAAUUGCUUGCACUUUAAACAACAUAGAAUGUCAUCAGUCUAGAGAGUAUAGAGAGAUAGCCUAGUGGUAACUGUUUAUCUUGUGUCGUCUCAAGUCUUGCAUUCGAUUUUCGCUCACUCAUGGUUUAUUUAGAUUUAUUUGGACAUGCUCUAAUAAUGUCAAGGUUUGGAGAAAGCCGGUUUUAGCACAAAUUGUGAAUCUCUGUAACUGACCAAGUCUUGGUUUCAAUUUUCACGCACCCAAAAUUUAUUCAGAACAUGCUCUUAUUAUUUCAAGGUUCGGAGAAUCAUGAAUCAUGAAAAAUAUUUUCUUUCUAGACCAACUCGAGCAUUGUUACAUAAUAAAGAUAAGAGAGAAAAAACGUAAUCAAUAGUAGAAAUCUGUUCUUUUCCUAUAGACUCCAGGUAGACUUGGUGAAACUUGAGUAGUCUCUGUCUCUGUUAGCUGUGUAUAUUAAUAGGCAGUUAAGAGAGCCAAGAAACUACAAAGUUUGGCAUUGUUGAGAGAGUGACCUACAUACAAGUUUCUUCGUAAAAGAGAAAUCGGAGGAACAUGGUGCUAAAGAGAAGCAUUCACAAGGUCAAGAAUGUGUUUCACAGAAGGCUGCUGAACAUCAAGUCAUUAGUCUCGAAAAGGUGGAUAUUUUGUAUAGGGAUAUAUCAGAAGAAUCAGAAGCUGAUCAUGAUGAAGUAGUGGAGGCGAAAAAGAGUAGUAGUGUCACAAAGAGCAUACAGAAGGUAUCUAACAGAAGCGUGAGAAGUAAUGCAGAAAAGAGUAUUAGUAAAAGUACGCGAGAAGAGAGGGUGAAGGAAGAGAAGAAGCUUGCAAGGGGAAGGGGACGUGUAUUAGCAGAGAAGAUUAAAGAACUCGAGAUGGUGGAUGCCUAUGACGAUGAUCAUAUUAUGGACAUAGAAGAAGCUCUGCAUCACUAUUCACUCCUCACCUGUCCAGCUUACCAAGAUAUCGUGGACAAUUUUUUCAUGGACAUGUACUCGGAGUUUCUACUUCCAGAGCCUUCUGCAAGCAUCAACAACUCGAUGAGAAGACUCCACUCUAUGAGGCUGUAGAUAAGAAUCUGAAAUCUUCUAGGCCUUCUAAGCGCGGUAUAUAUUAUAUAAAAUUAAAAUUUUCCAGUCUUGUUUUCUUUGAUUGAUCCUCCAGGUGUAUCUGGGAACAAGCUAUAGAAUUAUAGUUAUGAUAAACCUUUGAUGGUAAAAAAUUUCUCUUCUUAUUA